Molecule: ribosomal RNA, 195 nt
Filed under: Triticum aestivum (bread wheat)
Lineage: Eukaryota; Viridiplantae; Streptophyta; Magnoliopsida; Poales; Poaceae
Description: partial small subunit ribosomal RNA
Source: RNAcentral
ACAUUUCCGGUUGUUUUUGUAGAUGAGCAAGGAAUUGUUAGAGCAGACGUUCCUUUUAGAAGACCAGAAUCCAAAUAUAGUGUUGAACAAGUAUGCGUAACGGUGGAGUUCUAUGGUGGAUGCAUAUUUUUAUUAUAUUUGUAUAAAAUUGAACAAUAUCUUUUACUUAAUUAUUUCAAAUUAAUAUUAAAAUAA